AUUGAACGCUGGCGGCAUGCUUUACACAUGCAAGUCGAACGGUAACAGGCCGCAAGGUGCUGACGAGUGGCGAACGGGUGAGUAAUGCAUCGGAACGUGCCCAGUCGUGGGGGAUAACUACUCGAAAGAGUAGCUAAUACCGCAUACGAUCUAUGGCUGAAAGCGGGGGACCGUAAGGCCUCGCGCGAUUGGAGCGGCCGAUGUCAGCUUAGGUAGUUGGUGGGGUAAAGGCUCACCAAGCCAACGAUCUGUAGCUGGUCUGAGAGGACGACCAGCCACACUGGGACUGAGACACGGCCCAGACUCCUACGGGAGGCAGCAGUGGGGAAUUUUGGACAAUGGGCGCAAGCCUGAUCCAGCAAUGCCGCGUGCAGGAAGAAGGCCUUCGGGUUGUAAACUGCUUUUGUACGGAACGAAACGGCUCUGGUUAAUACCCGGGGCUAAUGACGGUACCGUAAGAAUAAGCACCGGCUAACUACGUG
This 482-nucleotide ribosomal RNA is filed under the name uncultured bacterium. RNAcentral describes it as "partial 16S ribosomal RNA". It matches the Rfam family "Bacterial small subunit ribosomal RNA", at positions 30 to 507 of the family's 1533-position model. The record is from RNAcentral.